Molecule: ribosomal RNA, 468 nt
Filed under: uncultured bacterium
Lineage: Bacteria
Description: partial 16S ribosomal RNA
Rfam family: Bacterial small subunit ribosomal RNA
Source: RNAcentral
GACGAACGCUGGCGGCGUGCUUAACACAUGCGAGUCGAACGGAAAGGCCCUGCUUUUGUGGGGUGCUCGAGUGGCGAACGGGUGAGUAACACGUGAGUAACCUGCCCUUGACUUUGGGAUAACUUCAGGAAACUGGGGCUAAUACCUGAUAGGAGCUCCUGCUGCAUGGUGGGGGUUGGAAAGUUUCGGCGGUUGGGGAUGGACUCGCGGCUUAUCAGCUUGUUGGUGGGGUAGUGGCUUACCAAGGCUUUGACGGGUAGCCGGCCUGAGAGGGUGACCGGCCACAUUGGGACUGAGAUACGGCCCAGACUCCUACGGGAGGCAGCAGUGGGGAAUAUUGCACAAUGGGCGGAAGCCUGAUGCAGCAACGCCGCGUGCGGGAUGACGGCCUUCGGGUUGUAAACCGCUUUCGCCUGUGACGAAGCGUGAGUGACGGUAAUGGGUAAAGAAGCACCGGCUAACUACGUG